This 461-nucleotide ribosomal RNA is filed under the name uncultured bacterium. Its description in RNAcentral is "bacterial SSU rRNA". It matches the Rfam family "Bacterial small subunit ribosomal RNA", at positions 343 to 795 of the family's 1533-position model. The record is from RNAcentral.
UGGAGGCAGCAGUGGGGAAUUUUGCGCAAUGGCCGCAAGGCUGACGCAGCAACGCCGCGUGGGUGAAGAAGGCCUUCGGGUCGUAAAGCCCUGUCAGGUGGGAAGAAUGUUUCGGGGAUGAAAAAGCCUCGAAAGUGACGGUACCACCAGAGGAAGCACCGGCUAACUCCGUGCCAGCAGCCGCGGUAAUACGGAGGGUGCAAGCGUUAUUCGGAAUUACUGGGCGUAAAGCGCGUGCAGGCGGGCGAGCAAGUCUGAUGUGAAAGCCCCGGGCUCAACCUGGGAAGUGCAUUGGAAACUGUUCGUCUUGAGUUCUGGAGAGGAAGGGGGAAUUCCCGGUGUAGAGGUGAAAUUCGUAGAGAUCGGGAGGAAUACCAGUGGCGAAGGCGCCCUUCUGGACGGCAACUGACGCUGAGACGCGAAAGCGUGGGGAGCAAACAGGAUUAGAUACCCUUGUAGUC